Long non-coding RNA from Talpa occidentalis (Iberian mole), 370 nucleotides. RefSeq lists it as uncharacterized. The record is from RefSeq and is a predicted model, not a curated record. Lineage: Eukaryota; Metazoa; Chordata; Mammalia; Eulipotyphla; Talpidae. The transcript is spliced from 3 exons.
UCCCGCUGCGCGAUGGCUGGUUCCAGUCUGGCCCGUGCGCUUCUCCAGAGAAUUCCACAGCAAACCAGGUCCCGGAGUCCACACCUGGUUAGUUCAGGGAUGACAGUGCAGUGUAAGAGCAUGUUUAUCUCCCGUGCUCAGCGGGCAGAAUGAGGGGCGCCCCGGCACCCCAGACCGGCCGCUUUAUGUGGAUUCCGCCAUCCGCCUGAGACGAACAUACUCUGUUAUCAGGAUGAGAAGAUCCCAAAGAUCCAGAAGGGAAAAAUACGUGUAAAAAAGGAGAACAAAUGGAAGUAGUACUGAACUUCUAAUAGCAACUGUGAGAAUGAGAAGAUAACAAGUAGUAACAGUUGUAACUACAGAGAUAAAU